AGAGCAACUGCGUACUGUGCCACCAAGAGUGAAGUACUUACUUUGGUAAUGCUGCCUUCCACAGAGCAGCAGACAAUGAGAGAAGCUGAAAAUGGAGUUUCUACAAAACUUUAUUAACUUUGAGAGUGAAGGAGAGCACAGAUGUUUUUAUGUGUUUGUUUUUCGGUCUUGUGUUUUUUUAUUGUGUAUGGUUGUGAGUUAAAUAUUAAGUAUGAUUACAGGACUAGGUUAAAUUGAAGCGUGUUUUGAAUCUAAGGGAACUAUCCAUGCAAACGGAGUUAACCUUCUUGGUCAUCAUACUACGGGCUAAUCCAGGGACAGGCAGAUCCAGACUGACAUACAUAGUGGAGUUACUCACUUGGGACUAAUAGUCUGAGGCCAAAUGAACAGUCUCAUCACCUAUCAACCCAAAAUGCACUCAGUCUUGUGUCUCAUAUAAGCCAUUUACAAUUUGUGUGUAUAAGUUAUAUCUGGCAUGUUAGCUUUUUAUCAUCAAUAUUCUCCUAAUAACUAUUCUUAAUCUGUUAAGCAAGCAGCAUAGAAACAAUGUCUAAUUGCUGCUUGCCAGUGGAAAUAGCUAGGAUUUUUGUCUUUAAUGGAAACUUGUCAAAAUGUCUUAAGUAGAUUUUUUUAAGAUAUUACUUUUUCAUCAGGAAGAUAUUUUUAUCAUUGAAAUUAUCAAAAGAACAAGUAAAAAAAAUAGAACAGCAAAACCCAGCACAUUUAGGUAGGAUUUUGUCCACAAGCCAGAUGAAAUCACAAACAGUUUGAGUAUUUAAAAAGAACAAAAGCUUCAUGCAAACUGAGAAAUUACUCAGGAAGAAAAAAAGAAUAGCAGCCCCUCCCAUCUGACUGGCUGCCAGUUUUUUGUGUUUAUUCUUACAUUCUUUAUACUUGCACAAUCUAACACAUUUAUCCUUCCCACAGGAGUUACUCUGAUAUGCAUUGCACAUUAAUAUGCACAUUUAAAUGAGGAGUCAGGUUCCAGGUUAUAAUAAAAACCACUUAUGAAAAAUGCCUUCCUGAUUUCAAAUCUUUAAGACAGCCACAACAGAUGAAAUUAUUUUUCAAGGAAGUGUGCCACAUUUAGCGGAGUGUGGCUUUUCCAGAAGGUGGUUCGAAGACUCUUUCUUGCUUUAGUUGCUCUGGGCUCCUUCCCAGCCUCUCUACCUACAAAUGGGCAUAGAUACCAGGGCAGAGCUGGAAUUCAGCACGGCUGCUUCAGAAGAAUCUUUCCUGGUGUACUUAGAACUUCGUGGAUUGCUGGAGGAUUGAUGAUCAGAAGGCUGCUUGACUCUCCUUCAUCUUUGAAAGUAAGAUCUGGAUGGCAACAUGCAAAUAUAAAGUAGAGAGGUAAAGUCUGCCAAGAAUCAGAACAUGUCCCUCAGGUGUGAAGAUGUACUUCUCUGGCACACUGUCAAGUUUUGCUUUUCUAUCACUAUAAGAACAUGCAAGUAAGAAAAGCCAUGGAGUAAUGCAGACACAAGAAGCCUCUUCUAUAGCACAAAGCAAGUAUUCUAGGAGUUAAGGGAGAAGGAGGCAUUGGAGACCGGUCAAUGGGAAGCAAGGAGAGAGCUUCCCUUGUUGCUGCCCGUGAGUGCCCUUCAGCCUUCCAGCUCUGCUCCCAAGCCAGCUGCUGCCCUGGGGAGAUAGGACAGCUGUAUCAGAAUGGAGUAGAAACUGACGCUUUUCUCAGUUGCCUCCAACUGAAGUUUAGAAACGUGAAGAUGUCAUCACCUCUGUGAUAGGGUAGAUUUUUCAGGCUACAGCAUAUUCAGAAGAGAAAGAUAGACAUGAACACUUCCAUACAGAAAGCCUCUUACGUGGGCCCAGAAGCAUGCUGGGCCCAUAAUUCGGAGGUCGAUGGAUCAUAAAGCCUCUCACUCUUAGGCAGCUUAGCCUGUGCACAGGAAAAGCUACAUUUGCAGUUAGGAGAUUUCUUUGAAAUCAUGAAAGCUUUUAUUUAAAUAUAAUUUUAAUUAAAAUAUAUAUGUUUGUGCAUUUCCGUGGGGGUGCAUUAUAGUAAUUUGGCACAUAUAUUCUAUGUGUAUUGAUUAAAUCAGGAUAUAUGGGUAUUCAUUUUUAAAACAUAAGUCAUUUAUUAUGUAUUGUUGUUUAUUAUGUAUUGGGAAGUCCAUCUUCUAUAUCAUUUUGAAAUAUUUCAUUUAUUGUUUUAGUGCAUCGUUACCUUUCUGGGGCACAGGAAAACAAAAGCGAUCCCUCCUCCCUGCUUGCGUUUUUGUAUCUCUCAUUGACUUCUCACCUCCUGGUCUUCUUUCCCCCUAGGGGCCAGUAUUAUAUCCAGUGUUUUCCCAAGACUGACCUACUACUUUCCACAAAGGAGUGAGAAUAUGUGGUACCUGUUUUUUUUCACAUCACUUCUGUGUUCUUUUCUGUUCUCUUAAAACAAGAGAAAAGAUAAGAAACAAGAAAGAGAACAAAGGAGCUCAGAGCCCCUUGAGGGCUCAUGGGUAAGAUGUAGCUGCCAGGUGAUCAUGAUUUGGAUCACCUCAGGCACGUGACUUUUCCUGCUCCUGCAACAGUUGUCUCAAGGAAAGGGCUGCAGAGACCCUGGCUGGGGGCUGGUCAAGGUAGGGCUAAAGGGCAGUGGCCACACUCUGUUGACUCUAUUAGCAGGAAUAGGGGAUUAGGUCAUGAAUCUGUUUGCUAGACUGGAAGAACAUGGAAUUCAAACUGAAAAUAAGUGUCUUAAGUUGUUUUUUUUUUAAAUUUGUCUUUUAUUUUUGAGAUUACAAUGCAAUUAUAUCUUUUCUCCUGUUCUAAAUAAUCCCCUUGAGAGGAAGUAUUCUAUUAACUCAAAGGUCCUAAUUCUUAUCAUGGGUAUUUCUCUCCAAAUCAAAGCAUCUCACUUUCAUCUUUUAUUCCACAGAAAUGCUUCAUUGGCUGGGCAGAAUUUAUCUAUAAGAAGUGUAUUCAUACACGAGGCUGGUUUCUUCAACUUCUUUUAUGAAAGCGUUCAACAGUGAUGGGAUGAGAGAUGAAAAAUCCGAGGUUCGCCUUUUGUGUUUAUUCUUCUGACUUUUCCAUCUUCCUUUUAUCCUCCCCUCAGAUCUGCUCACAUAUUCCUGGUGGCUGGGAAGUCGUUGUUGUCUGAAUUCUGGAAGCCCUGGAGCACUGGUGCACCUGUGAGUCUGAAGCCUGAGAAAGAGGAGGUCGUUGUAUGCACCACAGUCUCAGGGCAAGCUAUGGUAGAUGAGCUCAAGCACUGAUACAGAAAACAAUGCAAAACAGGGAUGUGUUUUUCCUUUGAGUUUGUUUCAUGAAGGUACUCCAGGGAUUUGAUAGUGCCCACCCACAAUGAGGCAAACCAAUGGCUUUCUCAGGCCACUGAGUCAAGUACUAUUUUUUUACAACACACUGUCACAGACACACCCACAAAUUCGGUUUAUUUGAACAAGGACAAGACAGUCAAAUUGAUGUAAAAUGAAUGAAUAUAUCUUAUUUAUAUUUGCUUCUCCAGUAGAGGUUUCUGUCCCAUUCCAAAGCCCAUUCUGUGUAACUUUAGGGUUUUCCAAUCUUAUUCAGUCUAAUUAUUCUCUAUUUAAAGCAUUUAUAAAAUGGGCAUUUCUUUAUGAGACAUAACAAUGAUUUUGUAUGGGGCCUUACAUAUUUUCAUAAAAUGACUUUGCCAAAGAGAAAGGGGAGGAGGUAUAAUAUCUAGAAAGAAAUUCAAAUUGGGUCUAGUUCAUAUCAUGCCCUAGUACAUGUUCACAUAUGUGUUUUAAAUUAGAUUUAUUAAUUUUAUUUUAUAUGGAGUGUCUUGCCUGCAUGUAUGUGUGUGCAUGGUGUGUGCACCAUGGAGGUCAAAAGAGGGCAUCAAAAACUGUGUUGCCAUGGAACUGGAGUUUGGAUAGUUGGGAACCACCAUGUGGGUGCUGGGAAUUGGGCCCAGGUCCUCUGCAAGAGCAAGAGGUGCUCUUAACUGCUGGGCCAUGUCUCCAGCCCCCUCAUAUAUGUAUUUAAUGUUUAAAUAUAUGUUAUGUAUUUACUGAAAAUAGGUACCAGGUAUUCUUAUCUGACUUCUAACCUACCAUUUAUUUGCUUGGUUAUAGUCAAUUUAAUACCCAACCCAUAACUAACACUGUAAAAAGGCUUUUAAACCUUUAAUUCCCAAUCAGUUGUUUUAAAGUUUUCUCCAAGAAAAUGCUCUGUUCAAAAUUUUAACAUAGUAAACUGUUGCAGAACUGGACACAAUAUUUCUUAGAUCAUGAUAGUGAUAAGGACUGAUCACUAAGUAUUCCUACUACCUUAUCAGUCAAUGUUGUAUAACUUUGGGGCAGAGAUGUCAGAUACAAAUGAAGAGUUAAGAAAGUAUUUAUCUGUCUAUACAGUGUAUUUAUGCCUAGGGCAGGAAAAAUUAACAUUUUUGAUCUCCUGUUAUCAGAUGUUUAUUUCCUCAAAGGAAUAUGAAUUAAUAGAUGCUUAUCCUGCUUUUAAAUAUUGUAACUAAGUUUGUAGUUGUUGGCUUGGGGAAUGAGGAAUCUGUAAUGUUGCUCUGUCUGACAGGGAGCUGUUAGCUGCCUGUGUUUUGUAGGGAGAAGUGUUUUUUCCUUGUGUAUAUUGAUCAGAAAUAUAUAGAAGAAAUUGUAAUGAAAAUCAGUAUGUAUAUAAAUUUUAUAAUCAAAAUUUUCCAGUCUAUACUUUAUGUUUCCUAAAUCAUAUACUUGUAAAGAAACCAGUCUGUGAGUUUUUAUGGUAUAAAUCCCAAGAAAACCUAUGUAAAUUCAUGUGUAAAAUAUGUAUCGCAAGGUAAUAUAUUAGACUGAUAUCUACAACAUACAUCCUUAUGAAGUUAGUCUUAGGAUAUGAUUAUUGGAAUUCUGCAAAUAUUUUUAUUUAAGCUUUAUUAUUAAAAAUCACUCAAU
Molecule: long non-coding RNA, 4886 nt
Organism: Peromyscus californicus insignis
Lineage: Eukaryota; Metazoa; Chordata; Mammalia; Rodentia; Cricetidae
Exons: 4
Source: RefSeq, a predicted model, not a curated record